AAUUCUCAACUUCAAUAGUUUGUAAUGAACAUUUGAAGCUUGGAUGUGGAGGUUUUGCUGGCAUCUUAGCAUGUUCGGCUCCUCUUAAAUGCAUUAGUGGAACCCAUUUGUUGGAUCAUCCUUGGUGUGAUAAUUAUCUACGCUUUGGUUGGUUUAAUGAACUUCUAUGAACUUUCAGCAUUUGCUGGUGUGGGUAUUGUAACUAUUGUUGCUUUAUCUGGUUCAUUAGAGUUGGGACAAUAUCUGCUCUCUAACUGUCUGUGUAUGCGGACAACUUCUUGAU
This 283-nucleotide unclassified non-coding RNA is filed under the name uncultured Gymnopus. RNAcentral's name for it is "sequence contains ITS2". Lineage: Eukaryota; Fungi; Basidiomycota; Agaricomycetes; Agaricales; Tricholomataceae. The record is from RNAcentral.